UAUGGAGGUUUUCCGGGCACCGGACUAAGUGCAAGGCUGCUGCAUGGCUGUCGCCAGCUCGUGAUCGUGAGAUGUUGGGUUAAGUCCCGCAACGAGCGCAACCCUUAUUGAUAGUUGCCAUCAGGUAAUGCUGGGAACUCUAUCAAGACUGCCGUUGAUAAAACGGAGGAAGGUGGGGAUGAUGUCAAGUCAUCAUGGCCUUUAUGUUCAGGGCUACACACGUGCUACAAUGGUUGGUACAAAACGUCGCAAUCUCGUAAGAGUGAGCUAAUCGCAUAAAACCAAUCUCAGUUCGGAUUGAAGUCUACAACUCGACUUCAUGAAGUUG
Molecule: ribosomal RNA, 328 nt
Filed under: uncultured bacterium
Lineage: Bacteria
Description: bacterial SSU rRNA
Rfam family: Bacterial small subunit ribosomal RNA
Source: RNAcentral